RNAcentral lists this ribosomal RNA (377 nucleotides) under uncultured bacterium. RNAcentral describes it as "bacterial SSU rRNA". It matches the Rfam family "Bacterial small subunit ribosomal RNA", at positions 28 to 416 of the family's 1533-position model. The record is from RNAcentral.
GAUGAACGCUGGCGGUAUGCUUAACACAUGCAAGUCGAACGAUUUCUAUCGAGCUUGCUCGGUUGAAAUAGUGGCGGACGGGUGAGUAACGCGUAAGAAUCUACCCUUAGGCGGGGGAUAACAACUGGAAACGGUUGCUAAUACCCCACUAAGCUGAUAAGUAAAAGAAAUUUUUCUACCUAGGGAUGAGCUUGCGUCUGAUUAGCUUGUUGGUGGGGUAAUGGCCUACCAAGGCAACGAUCAGUAGCUGGUUUGAGAGGAUGAUCAGCCACACUGGGACUGAGAUACGGCCCAGACUCCUACGGGAGGCAGCAGUGGGGAAUUUUCCGCAAUGGGCGAAAGCCUGACGGAGCAAUACCGCGUGGAGGAUGAAGGCC